AAAAAUCCACGAGAUACAGAACCAGUGUUCCAUUGAAGAAUCGACAAAAGACUUAAUAAAUCCAUACCUAUUCUUCUUCUCUUUUUCCAAUCAAGCAGAAUAGUAAGCUCUCUGAUUUCAAAUUGUUUUCAUAUCAGAUUUUUGAAGACAUCAGAUGCUUAAGAUGAUUCAUUGCCACAAUAUUAAUAACAAGGGUAUCCUCUUACUUGAUUUCUUGCAUGAAGAGCAUCUUCAGAAGAAAAAAAAAGCUCAACCUCAACAGGAAUACAAACUUCAGCAUCAGAGAAUAGCAAAGACAGUAAUAUUUGCCCUAAGUCAUUGGUGUGGACAUUUGAAACAAAAAUCAGAUGACGAGAGCCCAAGCAUCAUAACUAUUAAACGGAAAGUAAACAGAUAUGCUGAGCCAUCCAGUUCAAUUGAUUAAUUCUGCCUUCUCCCCGACGGGUUCAUCAAUAAUUAAAUUAGUUGCAGAACGCGAUCUAUCAGAGCUGCAUCCAUCUAAAUAUCCAUGCAAAACACAGGACGCUUGCCACGUGAAGUGAAAGGAAGAAAAAAAAAAAAAGCAAUCAAUGCAUCCAGAAAUAAGACCUUGACUGUGAUGAAUUUUGCAUCAAAACCAACAAUAAUUGCUAUUCAAACUGAUGCAACCAGCAGAGAGUUAGGGACUGAGACAGAGUAGCAAAAGAGGAUUGAGAAUUGUCAACAUGCCACUG
This is a long non-coding RNA of Macadamia integrifolia, 713 nucleotides long. RefSeq lists it as uncharacterized. The transcript is spliced from 3 exons. NCBI's taxonomy places the organism in Eukaryota, Viridiplantae, Streptophyta, Magnoliopsida, Proteales, Proteaceae. The record is from RefSeq and is a predicted model, not a curated record.